CACGUAGGGUGCGAGCGUUGUCCGGAAUUAUUGGGCGUAAAGAGCUCGUAGGCGGUGUGUCGCGUCGGCCGUGAAAACCUGCAGCUUAACUGUGGGCUUGCGGUCGAUACGGGCAUCACUGGAGUUCGGCAGGGGAGACUGGAAUUCCUGGUGUAGCGGUGAAAUGCGCAGAUAUCAGGAAGAACACCGGUGGCGAAGGCGGUUCUCUGGGCAUUACCUGACGCUGAGGAGCGAAAGUGUGGGGAGCGAACAGG
RNAcentral lists this ribosomal RNA (254 nucleotides) under uncultured bacterium. Its description in RNAcentral is "partial 16S ribosomal RNA". It matches the Rfam family "Bacterial small subunit ribosomal RNA", at positions 524 to 776 of the family's 1533-position model. The record is from RNAcentral.